This 253-nucleotide ribosomal RNA is filed under the name uncultured bacterium. RNAcentral's name for it is "partial 16S ribosomal RNA". It matches the Rfam family "Bacterial small subunit ribosomal RNA", at positions 524 to 776 of the family's 1533-position model. The record is from RNAcentral.
UACGUAGGUGGCAAGCGUUAUCCGGAUUUACUGGGUGUAAAGGGAGCGUAGACGGCUGUGCAAGCCAGAUGUGAAAGCCCGGGGCUCAACCCCGGGACUGCAUUUGGAACUGCGUGGCUUGAGUGUCGGAGAGGCAGGCGGAAUUCCUAGUGUAGCGGUGAAAUGCGUAGAUAUUAGGAGGAACACCAGUGGCGAAGGCGGCCUGCUGGACGAUGACUGACGUUGAGGCUCGAAAGCGUGGGGAGCAAACAGG